Non-coding RNA from Maylandia zebra (zebra mbuna), 1362 nucleotides. Lineage: Eukaryota; Metazoa; Chordata; Actinopteri; Cichliformes; Cichlidae. The record is from RefSeq and is a predicted model, not a curated record.
ACAACGGGGCCAACAUUGUGAAAGCCGUCGCACUCAACAACUGGACCAGACUUUCAUGCUUCGGACAUCGCCUGCACAUUGCAAUAGAAAGAAGUGUGAAGGACCCAAGGAUCGAACGAGCAGUUGGAGUGGGAAAGAAGAUUGUUGCUGCUUUUGGCCAUAGCUGGAAGCGCCAGCGAGCUCUGCAGGCUGCCCAAAAGGAACUGGGCCUACCAGAACACAAACUCAUAACUGAAUGUUGCACUCGUUGGGGUUCAAAGCAGAGAAUGAUCCAACGGCUGCUGGAACAAGAAAAAGCUAUAACACAGGUUUUAGCUGCUGAUAAAACCACAAGGCACCUCAUGUUGACAUGGCAAGACAUUGAAGUGCUUGACUCGGUCAGCACUGCACUGAAUCCACUCCUAGAGUUUACAGAUGCUUUCUCUGCUGAAGAGUAUGUAACCAUUUCAUGUGUUAAGCCUGUUCUUCAGAUGUUUAACAAUGACAUGUUAAAAGUAAAAGAAGGUGACACUGAGCUGACCAAAGACAUCAAAACAGCAAUACUUGACUACAUGAACAAAAGCUACACAGACAGUGUCACAGAGAGGCUUGUUAACAUGGCUUCUUUCCUUGAUCCACGGUUUCAUACAGAAUAUUUCAGUGAGAGAGAAAGCAAAGCCAUCAAAGUUCAAGUCAUGAGUGAACUAGAGCAUCUUGUCCCACACCAGGGUAUCACAGGUUUUUCAGAAACACUUCAUACAUCUACUGGUGACCAAACAAAUCAGGGAGCUGUUAAAAAGCAAAAGAAGAGUCUCGGGAGUUUUUUGAAGGGACCAGUUAGUGGCAAGAUGGAGGUAACUGCAGAGAGGUUAUCAUCUGAACUGAGAUGUUAUGUGAAUAGUCCACCAGCAGACAGUGAGUGUGAUCCUCUUUCGUGGUGGAAAGUUCACACAGUAAACUUUCCCCACAUCAGCAGAUUAGCUAGGAAAUACCUCUGCAUUCCAGCAACUAGCUCUGCAUCUGAAAGGUUGUUCAGCACAGGUGGAAAUGUUGUAACUUGUCAAAGGUCCUCCCUUAAGCCCGCAUCUGUGAACAUGUUAGUGUUUCUGACAAAGAAUCUUAAAACUUGAAAUGUAGAAAAACUUCCAGGAGCAGUAGCAUAAUUUAUCUGUUUUUUGUUUGUUUUGUUUUUACUCAAGAGUUUGUGCAAUAUUAUUAUUUGACUUAUUGAUUUUGCACACUGCACUUUUGUUACAAAGCACCUCUUAAGUUUUGUGGAUAUACAUGAUUAUGGAUAACCAUGUAUAUAACAGGAUAACCACUGUUGAAUUUUGUGUGGCUGUAAUGCACGUUAAAAUAAACAGCUGCUUGUUUAAACAAAAA